UGACUUUCUAUGAGAAGACUCAUGUG
This 26-nucleotide non-coding RNA is filed under the name Mus musculus (house mouse). Lineage: Eukaryota; Metazoa; Chordata; Mammalia; Rodentia; Muridae. The record is from RNAcentral.